RNAcentral lists this long non-coding RNA (428 nucleotides) under Vigna radiata. Its description in RNAcentral is "long non-coding RNA (VRAD_LNC008488)". Lineage: Eukaryota; Viridiplantae; Streptophyta; Magnoliopsida; Fabales; Fabaceae. The record is from RNAcentral.
AAGUGUUUCACUCGAUCACUCAAGUGUUUAAGGUAGCACUCCAACACUCUAUCAUUCACAAGUCACAUGAAACAAAAUUGCCAUUCAUCUAAAACAACCAAAAUUCUUACAUGCAAAUGCCAUCAAAAGGACUUUUUCAAGGCUUGUAAUGAGGUUGGGCUAACAAGAAUAUUGGUUUUUCUGGAAUGCAAAGUCCUUGAGUUAAGAGAGCUACCAUAGUAUUCAACAUUUAAGUACCACUCUCUUCCUCACCAAUCUCACUGAGCUCAUCUUCAUGCUUUUUCUUCUUUUCUUUUCUUUUUCUCAUGUAUUUUUCUUUCACACAUUUGAGCUCAAUGCUUUUCCAUUGCCUUUCAAUUUCCCCCAUGCAACCCCAAACUUGAACCUUUUCAUCGCAUACAAUUAAGCUCAUCCCAACUCAAGGUAAA